CCAUAAACUCUAAUAGUCACAAAACAAGACUACUCGCCAGAGUACUACUAGCAAUAGCCUAAAACUCAAAGGACUUGGCGGUGCUUCAUACCCCCCUAGAGGAGCCUGUUCUAUAAACGAUAAACCCCGAUCAACCUCACCAACCCUUGCUACUCCAGUCUAUAUACCGCCAUCUUCAGCAAACCCUAAAAGGGAACGAAAGUAAGCAUAACCAUCCUACAUAAAAACGUUAGGUCAAGGUGUAACCUAUGGGUUGGGAAGAAAUGGGCUACAUUUUCUAUAUUAAGAACAUUCCUUAUACUCACACGAAAGUUUUUAUGAAACUUAAAAACCAAAGGAGGAUUUAGUAGUAAAUCAAGAGCAGAGUGCUUGAUUGAACAAGGCCA
Molecule: ribosomal RNA, 386 nt
Filed under: Balaena mysticetus (bowhead whale)
Lineage: Eukaryota; Metazoa; Chordata; Mammalia; Artiodactyla; Balaenidae
Description: partial 12S ribosomal RNA
Rfam family: Bacterial small subunit ribosomal RNA
Source: RNAcentral